GUCUCAGUGGCGUAGUGGUCAGUGCAAGAGCCCCGGCUAGGCGCGAGACGCGGGUUCGAAUCCCGCCCGAGAUG
RNAcentral lists this transfer RNA (74 nucleotides) under Nippostrongylus brasiliensis. It matches the Rfam family "tRNA". Rfam says of the family: Transfer RNA (tRNA) molecules are approximately 80 nucleotides in length. The record is from Rfam by way of RNAcentral. Lineage: Eukaryota; Metazoa; Nematoda; Chromadorea; Rhabditida; Heligmosomidae.